UAGAGAGGGGGCUAGCGUUGUCCGGAUUUAUUGGGCGUAAAGAGCGUGUAGGCGGCCAGGUAGGUCUGGUGUGAAAACUCGAGGCUUAACCUCGAGAUGUCAUCGGAAACCAUUUGGCUAGAGUCCGGAAGAGGAGAGUGGAAUUCCUGGUGUAGCGGUGAAAUGCGCAGAUAUCAGGAAGAACACCAAUGGCGAAAGCAGCUCUCUGGGACGGUACUGACGCUGAGACGCGAAAGCGUGGGGAGCGAACAGG
RNAcentral lists this ribosomal RNA (253 nucleotides) under uncultured bacterium. RNAcentral describes it as "partial 16S ribosomal RNA". It matches the Rfam family "Bacterial small subunit ribosomal RNA", at positions 524 to 776 of the family's 1533-position model. The record is from RNAcentral.